GGGGGUUCUCAGGUGACGCACCCCAGAAUCAGGCUCCCUCCUCUCUGGUUCCAGGUGAGUCACCCAAGAACUGCA
This is a non-coding RNA of Myotis brandtii (Brandt's bat), 75 nucleotides long. Lineage: Eukaryota; Metazoa; Chordata; Mammalia; Chiroptera; Vespertilionidae. The record is from Rfam.